CUUUCCUUCCAAUAGCCCCAACACGAUCUUGAAGGAUCCACGUCUCAAAAGAGUCAAGUGGAUAUUUAUGCUGCAGUCUGACCGAUGCAUAAUCCUGCAACGUGCUUCCAUGAGAAGAUCGUAUCGUUCCUGCCCUAAUUCUGCUUCCCUGGGUAUCGAGGACAUCAUUAUCCUAUGCCUCCUACCUUUUGUAUUUUUUCGUGACUGAUUUAUUCCUGAUAACUUUCUCUUUGUACGGCUUUCCAUACAGAUCACAGGGGAACGAGGUUCUGGAGUAUUCUGGAGAAAUGUCUUGUUUUUUUACCAUCAGUUCGCUAGAAUGGAGUUGGCUCCAGAUAUAACACUGUCAUUAUUAAUUCCAUAAAAAGGAGAAUUACAGGAGGUCAGUUACCAUUCCCUGUUCUUUAAGGAGGAAUUUCCUCUACUCAGGAUGUCUAAUAUAAUGUUUACUUAUCCAUACAUUUAACAUGUAUGUGUAUGUGAUGUCUGGACAAAUGUAAAUGUACCAAUCCACACCUCUGUUUUAACCUUUAUCCUGGUACUGAGCGGCUCCAUAUUGGCUCCCUGUCAGUCCUUGUUAUGAAUUCUGUCCUGUUCUGCUAUUGAACAUAGUUUGUGUAGGAGGAGAAACGGAACCAAUGUUUCUUUUUUCCCUCCUCCGAUGCAAUGUGUGCCUUGACUGUGCCAGGACUGAACUGGGUUGUGAUAUGAAUUGCUGAAUCUUUAAUAAACAUUUCAAAUAUAA
This is a long non-coding RNA of Pelobates fuscus (common spadefoot toad), 745 nucleotides long. RefSeq lists it as uncharacterized. Lineage: Eukaryota; Metazoa; Chordata; Amphibia; Anura; Pelobatidae. The record is from RefSeq and is a predicted model, not a curated record. The transcript is spliced from 2 exons.